CAAAAAUAAUUAAUAUUAAACCAACAAAAGAAAUCCCUAAAAGCCUAAAGAAAAGGGGGGAAAGAUGAGGCCGUUGCCGAUGGAAUUCGUGACGGACCCAGACGACCAAGGUUCAGCCAUGGAAGUCGACGAUGUUGACACACCGGAGAUCUUCGGCGAAGGUGUCGUCGCUUCCGACGAUUUUGAUGACUCCGAUAUCGACUAAAAAAACAAAGAAGAAUCGUUUCAAGUCCUCGGGUUCAACUACAUAAUACAAAUUCCACCUCUGCACUUUCCUUCAAAAUAAAGCUUCGAUUUGAUCUCUUUUAGUGAGACAAAUGGCUGAAAAUCUUAUGCAUGCUUUACAAUAUAGCAGCUAUGGCGGAGGCGCUGCUGCUUUGAAGGGACUUGAUUUUAUAACGCUGUGAAUUUUUGUGCUUUUUACAGCAUGUUGAAGUUCUGAUCCCAACUCCAAAUAAAGUGGGACGACCAUCCUGCAAUCAUGGCUGUGGGUGUUGUAGAUGGAACUUCAGAAGCCAUUUUCCAGACACUAAUGUCUCUUGGACCCUCAAGAUUAGAAUGGUACUUGUGUGGGUGUUUGAAUGCGGAAGCAUCCUUUGGCCUCUCAGCUUGAACACUGCUGAUAACUGUUUAUCGCAUUGCUUUUAUUUUGAUUUGAUCGGUUUUAUCAUUGUCCUGAUAUAUGCACCAACACAUUUGUGAGAUGUGGUGGUGGAUAUGUCAUAUCUCCAGUGACUGAAGGAAAACACUCUGUUGUGAAGCACAUGCUUGCAAUUGAUUGGAAAUUCUGGAAAUCUUAUCUUCGAACAUCUGCAGUCAGAUCUAUUACCAUCCGGAUGCUUGAGAGAGUUGCUUCUGUUAUGACAUUGUGUCAUCUAUUACCCUAAAAUCCAAGUGCAGAUAUAAUCUUAUUUAUCAAUUCAUUUAUUGUGUGUAUGUGUCUGUGUUACAAAUUUGUGUGAUCAUUGAGGUAUUAAGUUUCUAGGAAUCUAUAUCAUUUACUUGCAGCAUUAAGAGAAUUAUUCAAAGCAAAACAAGGAAACCAUCCUACUGCUGAUCUUUCAUCUGGAGAGUUGAUGCGGAAUGUUAGGUUGCAUCAAAGUGAAGAGGAUGGCAUAGUUGAUAGUGUACGGAAAUAGAGGCUGGAAAAACUAAGGAAAAUAUGAAUGAAGCAAUGGAAAGGGCAUCUUCAGAGCACUCAAGUCUGGUAGGUCUCAAUGAUGCUGCUGAUGAAUUCUUUGAUGUUCCAGAACCAAUAGACCACGAUCGAGCAGAAGAUGGAUGGUCUUCUGACUUUGGUCCUGAAGUAUAUUCUCAGAAAAUUUAGGGACCGCACGACUUGUGGUUGAUUUCGAUAGGUGGUGGACUGGUGAGGAAUCUGUGAAUGUUCUCUUAGAAGUCGCAGGCCAAGGAACACAUGCCCUAUGCCCUAUUUUCGUUUAAGGACCGCCAAGGAAAUUCUAAAACUGAAAGCUGAUUGAUUGGACAUGUAUGCCGGCUUUCAUCGACUACUUUCGAGGCCUUACUAGGAAUUGAAAUGGUGUGCAAAGAGAUUGCUUCUUCUGAUCUGAUUUUUUGAUAUAAAUACUGGACAAAGUAUGAAUAUUUUACUGCUGUUAGUAAAAUUGGAUUCUCUUCUUAAGAUCUUAGUUUCUUCACUUGUAUUAGACUCAACAAUGGCUUGCAUUGCAUUGGUGUUGAUUUUACCAAAAUCUCGAGGUUUACAAUUUUUAAUUUUUAUUAA
Long non-coding RNA from Gossypium raimondii (Peruvian cotton), 1744 nucleotides. RefSeq lists it as uncharacterized. The record is from RefSeq and is a predicted model, not a curated record. The transcript has 8 exons. NCBI's taxonomy places the organism in Eukaryota, Viridiplantae, Streptophyta, Magnoliopsida, Malvales, Malvaceae.